This 62-nucleotide transfer RNA is filed under the name Quasipaa boulengeri (spiny-bellied frog). Its description in RNAcentral is "tRNA-Asn". Lineage: Eukaryota; Metazoa; Chordata; Amphibia; Anura; Dicroglossidae. The record is from RNAcentral.
UCGCUGGAUUGAGUGUUUAGCUGUUAACUAAAAUAUUACGGGAUCAAGGCCCGUCUUUCUAG